UAUGGAAACUUACUAAGUGAUAACUUUCAAAUUCAGAGAAACCCUGGAAUUAAUAAAAAUGGGCGAUCCUGAGCCAAAUCACGUUUUCCGAAAACAAACAAAGGUUCAGAAAGCGAAAAAAAAAAAGGAUAGGUGCAGAGACUCGAUGGAAGCUGUUCUAACGAAUGGAGUUGGUUGUCUUACGUUAGUGGAGGAAUCAUUCUAUCGAAACUUCAGAAAAGAUGAAGGAUAAACCUGUAUACAUAAUACAGAAGAAUUGUUUCCAAUCGAUUUCAUAUUGAAGAAAGAAUCGAAUAUUCAUUGAUCAAACCAUUCACUCCAUAAUCUGAUAGAUCUUUUGAAGAACUGAUUAAUCGGACGAGAAUAAAGAUAGAGUCCUGUUCUACAUGUCAAUACCGGCAACAAUGAAAUUUAUAGUAAGAGGAAAAUCCGUCGAUUUCAAAAAUCGUGAGGGUUCAAGUCCCUCUAUCCCCAAAAAGAGC
Molecule: non-coding RNA, 482 nt
Filed under: Berkheyopsis echinus
Lineage: Eukaryota; Viridiplantae; Streptophyta; Magnoliopsida; Asterales; Asteraceae
Description: Hirpicium echinus partial tRNA-Leu
Rfam family: Group I catalytic intron (bases 1-399)
About the family: Group I catalytic introns are large self-splicing ribozymes. They catalyse their own excision from mRNA, tRNA and rRNA precursors in a wide range of organisms.
Source: RNAcentral